GGGAAUGUGGCUUAGUGGUAGAGUACUUGCCUAGCAUGCAUAAAACCCUGGGUUCAAUUCCUCAGUACCA
This 70-nucleotide transfer RNA is filed under the name Dipodomys ordii (Ord's kangaroo rat). It matches the Rfam family "tRNA". Rfam says of the family: Transfer RNA (tRNA) molecules are approximately 80 nucleotides in length. Their secondary structure includes four short double-helical elements and three loops (D, anti-codon, and T loops). Further hydrogen bonds mediate the characteristic L-shaped molecular structure. tRNAs have two regions of fundamental functional importance: the anti-codon, which is responsible for specific mRNA codon recognition, and the 3' end, to which the tRNAs corresponding amino acid is attached (by aminoacyl-tRNA synthetases). tRNAs cope with the degeneracy of the genetic code in two manners: having more than one tRNA (with a specific anti-codon) for a particular amino acid; and 'wobble' base-pairing, i.e. permitting non-standard base-pairing at the 3rd anti-codon position. The record is from Rfam by way of RNAcentral. Lineage: Eukaryota; Metazoa; Chordata; Mammalia; Rodentia; Heteromyidae.